CAGCCGCCGCGGGAAUACGUAGGGUGCAAGCGUUAAUCGGAAUUACUGGGCGUAAAGCGUGCGCAGGCGGUUUGUUAAGACAGAUGUGAAAUCCCCGGGCUCAACCUGGGAACUGCAUUUGUGACUGGCAAGCUAGAGUCUGGCAGAGGGGGGUGGAAUUCCGCGUGUAGCAGUGAAAUGCGUAGAUAUGCGGAGGAACACCGAUGGCGAAGGCAGCCCCCUGGGCCAACACUGACGCUCAUGCACGAAAGCGUGGGGAGCAAACAGGAUUAGAUACCCCCGUAGUCCCUGUCUCUUAUAC
This 301-nucleotide ribosomal RNA is filed under the name uncultured bacterium. RNAcentral's name for it is "partial 16S ribosomal RNA". It matches the Rfam family "Bacterial small subunit ribosomal RNA", at positions 509 to 807 of the family's 1533-position model. The record is from RNAcentral.